ACUACAUAUUGGAUCAAUGAAUGAAUGAGGAGAAGAGGAAAACAGAAAGCCAAGUAGAUGGAUAGGAGGGCAUGGAUUGUCAGGUUUCUGAGAGGCAACCUUCAGGACCAUGUCAUGGUGCAAAGAGGAUGAGGCUCCUUCCUACAGUGUUCAUGAGAAAAAUGCACAAAAUCCCGACUGACCGGAAUAAUUCAUGAAGAAGGGGCUGAAUCCGUGGGUCAGAGAACACAGGACCAGUUUGCCAUCCCAAGGCGGAAGUCUGGUGACUCGGAUUUGGCCCUGCGUUUCCCACUCCUGCUGCAUCUUACCCAGUCGAGGAACGAAAGGUCUUGACACCUUCCUGAAGCAUGGGAAGAAAGGAGGUUCUGAAAGCACAGAUCCAAGACCACCAGAGGCCGGGGACAGCGAUUCCUGGAGGGGCCGCUCACACAACACCAGGAGCUGAGGAGAACUGGAGCAGGAGGAACAUGGGCCCAACAAGGGUGGAAAUACCAGCAAUUCCAAAAGUCAUCUACAUCAGUGCCCAGGACGCCCAUGCAGAACCCACUGAAUGGAAGAAAACGUGGUGGCUGCUUCCUCAAUUUGCAACUGCAGAAGCUGGAAUAAGGGCCUGAGAAGGCAGAGAAGCCACAUGAGUCCAGUCCCAAAGCUGUCAGAGUAACCCUGAGGGAACUGUCUACUGAAUUAUGACCAGUUGUGCCAACAGACAUUGAGAAGAGACCUCCUUUCCAUUGGCUCCUAUCACACCUGGCUGCCACUGCUCCUGGGAUCUGGACCAUCUUGUAUCCACCUUUGAGCGUCACUUCCUGUUUCAGCUGUGGGAGUUCUGGUCCACUUUCCCUGUGAAGAAACCUUCACUUUUUCCUCCUUUGGAGUUCUGGAUUAGACUCUUGUACCUGGAACUGGGUCAAGUUAGGCUAAACGCACCUCUAGGCAUUCCUGUUUCUCAGAAGUUGUCAAGUUCACAUCAUACCUGUUUCAUUGGUGACCAGGGGUCCACUUCUAGCAGAUGCUACCUGGCCUGGUCAGUAUUUUUCAUGGUCAUCUCUUUAGUGCCUUUAUCUCAUCCCCUGCCCAACUCAGGUGAGACUUGCCCAGUGGUGACUUCUCUCCUGGUACUUUAGAUAGGGAGAGAAAAUGUGGCUUGGUGGAUCUGCCAUCUUCUUCAGUUUGGAGGCAAUUGGAGCAUGGCUCCAUCUAGGGAGGAAAAUGACUCCGAAAGAGACUGUCCUUAUCUCAGCUUCUGCCCUGUUCUACUCUCACAAUCCUUAUUCUUGCCCUUUGUGCCUGUCCUAAUGCAGGAGAAUUGUGGUUUUCUUUUUUCUAUUAAAUAUAACUGUAGCUAUUUUCAUUAUUGCAAAACAGCACAAGCUUAUUACGAAAACAUGAGAAAUAUAGACAAUAGAAGACAAAAAAUAUUCCCAAAUUUUAUCCCAAAGACAAGACAACUAUUGAUUCAUAUAGUUAUACAAUAUCAUACACAUAUACUACAUAUAUUUAUAUAUUUAAUGUGACUAUAAUAUCACAAUACCAUUUAUAUUCUUUGAUAACACAUCUUGUCAUUUAAUGUCUUAUGAAUAUAUUUCUAUAGCAACAAGCUCAGCUAUACUGAAAUUUUAAGAGUACUCAAUUGUAUAUAUGCCCUCAUUUAUCUCAUCUCACAUAGUUUAAUGUUUAGGCUGUUACCUCCUUUUCUAUAUUGUCAUUAAUGAUCAUGGAUUUAGUUUAAUCUUCCUAUAAUUAUUUCCGUAAGGUAAAUCCUUAGAAAGGGAUCGAAGGAUGAGUAGUAAAGGUUGCAAAGCUCUCCGAAUCUGGAGCCAGCAAUAACUGCUCAGACUCCCUUAAAAAUAAGAGCUCUAGGAAGGCCACACAUGCCCUUUCCCAGAUUCCUUCCCAUAGCUACACUUGGGCAGCCCUGACUUCUUUCACCUUGCCCUGAACGGAGAAUAGCCCUGAGAGAUGGCUGAGGAACAGGUAGUGAAUGAGCGAGUGGUGGUGUCAGUUUGGGUUUGGUUUUUGGAUAAACUUCACAGUUCCUCAUUGGAUGCUGAGAAAUGAUUAUUCAUUCAUGACCCAUUUAUGGAAGAGCCAUUGCUUCCAGAUGCCAGGCUAGAGGCUGAGAAGACAGAGAUGGAUUAAACAGGAAUUCUUCUCUCAGGAAUAGCACAGCCUAGGGAAGGAAGGCCCGUGAUAGACAGCACACAUUUACUCCAUGAUAAAGAGGAAACGUAUAAGAUCAGUAAUAUAUCUCAGGGAAGAAAACUGGAACCAUCUAAAAUCCCACAGGGAAAAUAUGAGGUUCCUGCAGUCUACUAGCCCAUUCAUCUCAGCUAACACCUUUGUGUGGAUCCUUUGGUGGUGAGACUUGCUCGCUUGUGGUCAUCCUUGCUAAACACAACCUGCCCAAAGGCAUUGACCGUGUCCUUCCUUUGCACCUCUAGCAAACUGGUACCAUCUUAUACCAUGGCUUCUGAAAUCUGUUCAGUGUAAAAUCCAAAUUAGAGUAAACAAAAUUAAAGGUAAAGAGAUUCAUGAGUUGAAACAAAGACUCAAUGUUUUAUGUAUGUAAGAAAAUUUGCAUUAAUUCAUAUCCUUCUGCCUGAUAGAAACUUUCUCAGAUAUUUCAUUAUAGAAGAAACAAUCACAUUCCAGAAAAUGUGGGAAGUAGAGAAAAGGAGAAUUAUCAGCCCAUCUCACCAUCCUAACCCAGGGCAAAUAGCAUUCUAGUGACCUUUGCCCUGAAAAAUUUGUAUUAAGAUGGUGUUGAGGACAAGAGCUAAGGAACAUGUGAGUUUUUCAUCUCCAAUUUUAUUGUGAAUAAAUAUAUCUGAUAGUGAAUUAUAUUCAUGUAGUUCAAAAUUCAAAAACACAAAAACAGAGACUGAAAAGUCCAUGAACCCCAGCCUCUAUUACUUGGAGACAUCCAGGAGUCUCAGUGUCUUGUGUAUCCUUCUAGAGUUUUUGUGCAUAUUAAACCAUGCGUGUUUAUAAAAUAUGAGUUUUGACUAGAGGGCUUUGGCAAAACUGUUACCAAAUGUCCUAAAUUUAGCUAAACUAUCUUCAGUAAUUUUAAUGGCAGGCCUGAGGUACAGAUGGAGAAGAGAAAAGGAUGGAGAGAGCGAGAGAGAGAGAGAGAGAGAGAGAGAGUGCUCCUGAGGGAGAGCGUGAAAGAAAGAGCAAUCUUUCAUUUAUCCAACUAGUAUUUAUUGAGCAGAUAUUACAUCUCAGAUAUUAUUCUAUGCCCAGGUGAUACAAGAGUGAAAAAAAUUCCCUGACUUCAUGGGGAUUAAGAAUGGAAGGUGGCAAACAAUAACCAUAAUCAAAAAGUAAAUUAUAAAGUCCAUCAGAAUGUGAUAAGCGUUAUGGAAAAACACAAGUGGGGUCCAGGAGAUGAGGCACAUCAGGAGACAGUUUUAACAUGAGUGGUCAGGGAGGGCUUCACUGAGGAGGCCUUAAAGGAGGCGAGAAGAUGGGCCCUGCAGAUACUCAGGGAAAGGGCACUGCAGAGGGAAGAAGCAAUGCACAGGCCUCGCAGCAGAAGUCAAGGCCUGGAGGUUUCCAGCAGCCAACCUCCUCCAGCUCCGGGCUGUUCCUGGUAACCUGUGCCCGCAGCUGGCUUCCCUUGGAGUUCAGGUCAGGCCGGUGUGUUUGGGCCAUAGUGCUAAGCUUACUGUAUACUAGACGUCAGUUUGUCUUCUCUCUAAAUUUUGAUUCUGAUGCUUAAUUUGACUCCUUCCAAGGUGAUUCUGUGGUUAGUCUGAAUAAGGAAAGGAGAGGGGCAGUGUUAUUGUAGUAGGUAGACAAGGUUGACAUUUGGGGGUCCUGGCUUUUAAACCAAUUCUGUUUUCAAGUCUUUUGUCAGACACAUUAUUCAACCUUUCCGGUCCUCAGGUUUGUCUCUUAGGAAACAAAAAGAAUGUGCUUAGUUGGCUUUAGGGCUGUCCCUACCAUUGGUUUUCAAGCUCUGUGACCAUGUGAGCAGUCCAGGUAGGAAGUGGCAUCAGAUGACAUCUAGCAACACCAGGGGACACAGAGGAGCUUCUGCCUGCAGAGGACUGUGUGCAUGAUAUGUGCCGCCACCUCGUUUCCCUUCUAGACUAGAAGAGCCCAGACCAGAAGAGCCCAGACCAUCCUUCAAAUAGAAUAUUUCACCUGAAUAAGCCCAGAAUUCCCUAAGUGAACAGAGGAGACAUGGGGACACGGUUAAUUGCUUUGUUCUUGUGCCGUUGGCAGUAUGGUUCCCUUUAAGCCCAGAAGGGCUCCUUUCCCCUGCCCCUUGGCGGAGCUCAUUCUCCAUAGGCAGUAGGGGUGGCAUGCUGGGGCCAGGGCUCCUUGUUUUGUUCCUUUGGGCCACAGAGGUCCCCUCCCUGUUUAGUGUCUUCCAGUUGGACACAGGGAGUCUUCGUCUACCUGGGGAAUAAGACACUGAGGAGGAGGGAAGCGUGUCAUGGACACCACUCUCCUUCCAGCAAAGUCACUGUGAAUUUAAAACUCAGACUGUGUGUAAGAGGUUGUGGGGGCAGAAAGGGGCCUUUGGAAAUUUCAUUUGGAGGCAGAGGUGCUAAACAUGAAUAGAAGCCUUUGCUUUGACUCUCAGAGGGUGAGUCACCUUGGUUAUAGUUACUCUUGGUUAUUCCUUGCUUUUUCUUUUGUUAUCUCCGCCCGCACCCCCGCCAUACCCACCCAUCUUUAGCAUUCUUAGCUGCUUUUCUACAGGUCAGCUGAAAAGUGACUUGCAGAAUAGGGCUUCUCUUCCCCUAUUGGAGUUCAUGGGCAUUAUGUUUCCUAGCACUGGGAGGAAAUAUACACGACCAUGCACUUUCCACUCAUAAAGGACCCUGAGGUAUUUAAUUGUGAAAAUCAACUUCUGAUUUAUGUUACUUUCCCAGUGCCUUUUCUUUACACACAUAUGAAAAUUGCUCUAUUACUUCUUACAUUUCAUGCAGUGCCCUUUGUCUCCAUCAACUGUUGUGGAGAGAAAUUUUAUUUGGAAUAUUCAUAACAAGUCUAUCGCUAAUUAUCACUUUAACAAUGUGUUAUGGAGUGUAUCCAUGCAGUCAUCUGGAAAAGCACAUAUGCCAUGAAAUUUGGGGACUUGCUGUGUGCUGUAGGUGCCCAGUCUCAGUGUUUCAUCAGAUCUUUGCUUGGGGAGGAGGUAGAGGUGCUUUGUGAGGGAGUAUGGAGGCCUGCAUCCUGCAUUCCUGUCCUCAUAGCAACAGUUUCCAGGGUGACUUGUUUUUGAGUGUAAAAAAAACCUUAAUGUGAAACAAAAACCCUUCCCUACUCUGCAGCCCUAUUACGGUCAGCCCAGGUCAGUGCCAGGUAGACUGAUCUUAGCCACAGAGCUAAUCGCAGAUGAAGACCCUGCUGUUCUUGGUGCCAUCCUGGCACUCUGGCAAGAAGAGUGGAGCUAAAAUUGCCACCUGGUUGGCAGGCCUCAGAAGCAAAUGGAGAGUGACCUCAGCAUGUCAGAAUGAGAAAGGAAAGAAUGCCUCGGUGUUUCUUUCUUCCUGCUCUCUUUUCUCUGGGAAAGGAGAAUGGACUCACACUGGGUUUCUUCUCCAGGAUUCUCAGUGAGUCUGGGAUUUGGGAGGCUAGAAUCAUAUUUUUACCAGGACACAUGGAGCGCUUCCCUCUGAAGCUUCCUGAUGGACAUGGAUGAAGCCCCAGAGGCUGCCUCCAAAUGAGGGCAGAGUAAUGGAGCCUAAUGGAGCACAGCUCCUAGUCUGAGCACAGUCCUACCGCAGGGAUAAAUCAAGCAGCCUUUAGGUGGGGCCAGGAAGGGGACAGAGGGAAAUGAAUGACUGUGUUGAGCUCAGCAUGACUUUGUGGAUCCUCUGAAGCUUUUAACUAAGUGGAGGAUUCAGACUCAGGAAUUUACUGAGGAAUAUGACUUGGAAGGAUGGAAAGUUGCAUCUGUUAUAACAAGCUUUUAAGGAUGAGUUUUCAGAGCACUUGGAGCCUGGUUUUGUUGGAUGUUACUUUAGAAAUAAUAACUACUUAUUAUUUGUUAAGUGCUUACUCAGUACUAGGCACAUUGUUCAUCAUAAUCAAUAAUACCUAACAUUGAUGGAGUAUUUGUGAUGUACCAAACUCUCAAGCACUUUAGAUUCUGACUUAACUAGGUCCUAGAAGGAAGCCCCCAUUGGAGUCAUCACUAAUAUGUAGAGAAAUUGAGGCUCAGGGUAUUAGAUAACUUACCAGAAACACUAAGGAAACCAGUAGCUUUAGGUCAGUCACUUACCUGUUUCAGGACACAGAGCACAGAGGCUUUCCCCCUUUACCCUUUAUGAAACAGCAGGAGAGGACGGGGGCUGUAUCUCAGUGGUAGAGCUCUUGCCUAGCGUGUGCAAGGCUCUGGGUUUGAUCCCUUGUACCACAAAAACAAAACAACCAUAACAACAGCAAAACCAGCAGGAGAAAGUGCUGAGAAACAGCAAGAAAGUGGGGCACUGAAAGGGGACAGGAGUCUGUGUAGCCCUGGGUCAGUGCUGGUACAAAGCUGGCCUUAUGACCUGGGUGCUUUGCAUCUGUUAUAAUGCACUGUGAAAACCCAGUGUUAGCUGUUGUCCUAAAGAACUGAUUCAAUAAACCCUACAUUUCUGGACAUUUGGUUUCCUUGUUUCUAUUUGGGUGGCACUAGGAUUUGGGAGGAGCUAGUUGGGAAUGUAUUUAAGGAGGAAAACUUUGGAUGUGGUUUUAGAAACAAGGCACCACAACCAGACUGUGAUGCAGGCUUCAUCUGUGGACAGGUGUAUGUGGACAGGUGCAUUGUGCAGGCACCAGCGCGGGCAGAGGAAGUGGUAGGUUUGAAGGUAGCAAAAUAGGGCGGCUUUGUUGUUGUCUGGCAUGGGCCCUGCCAGGCCACAUCCAUUAACUAUGCCAACACCACUGCUAAUAGGUGGGUGAUUCAGCUCCUUCCUGCAUUUUAUUGCCCAACAGAGACUUUAAUAGCCUUUUGAUUUAGCAAGUUAACAAAGUAAGCUCUCAAGCUCCACUGUUUAACACCAGCUGGAUGACCCUGGGCCUGCUGCUGCCUGGAGCCCUCUGGUACAGUCUUUGCAUUGAAAGAAGAGAAAGCUGUGGAAUUUUCAGGCUCUCCUCGAGAGCUCCUUUUGGGGCAGCCCUGCCAGCCCAGCAUGCUUAGACCCCUCCGAUGUCAUAUGUCGCCCCCGCCCCCAUCAGUCCAGCCGCAGAAGAGAUCUGUCUAGAAGUUAAUAUCCCAGGAACCUAAAGGUUGGGUGUCUUUGAGGAAGAGUGUCAGAUGAGAAUGUGAGGGUUCCCGGAUGGGGCUCUUUAUUGAUUUCCUGGAACUAUUGUGUAACAAAUUAUCACAAACUGGAUAAUUUAAACAAUAAACACAUUCUACCACAGUUCUAAAAGCCAGAAGUUUGAACUCAAGGUGUUGGUAGGGCCAUGCUCCCUCAGAAGGCCCUAGAGAAGGACCUUUGCAUGUCUCUUACUGGCUUCUGGUGGUUGCCAGUGAUCCUUACUGUCCCUUAGCUCGUAGACACAUCACUCUGUCUCUGCCUCUGUGGCCACACAGCCUUCUCCCUGUGUACGUCUUAUAAGGACACAAGCUGUAUUGGAUUUGGGGUCCACACAACUCCAGGAUGCUCUCAUCUUAACUAGUUACAGCUGGAAAGGCCCUGUUUGAAAGCAACAUAAGAGUCUGAGGUUCUGGGUGGACCUGAAUGUCCAGGCCCUUUAAAAGCAAGUGAAAAGAGGUAGGCCAUGUGGUAGCUGAUUCACACAGCUAGAGAGAGGUGGUUUCAGACAACACUUUCUGGUACAACUUUGUGCAGUGAUGGGAAGGCCCUGUAGCUGCACUGCUGAAAAUGUGGCUAAUGCGACAGAGGAACUGAAUUUAGCAUUGUGAUUGAUUUAAAUUAAGUUAAACAGUCAAGUCAUGUGACCAGGGGCUACUGUUGCAGAGAGCAAAGCCCUCAACCAGUGAAGGUGAACCUUUUAGAAACUGAGUGCCCAAACUGCAACAUAGAACCUACUUAUUUAUCGCAAAGUGCCAACACUGCCAUUAAACCCGAAUACUGAGGCUUUAGUUUAGAAAAGACAACUCAUAUAAUAAUAUCUUUUGUCUUGAAAGAAAAACAAAUAACACACGUGUCAUAGGUUCACCACCGCUGCCCUAAACCCUCCUGAGUGUGGAAUAGGAGAAGGAGACGUGAAGGCUGUCAAAGUCUGGGCAGGGCCAUUUGCAUCCAGGAUGGCCAUCAGCUGUUUAGGAUGCUGAUCAAGGUCUGCAGGGGUCUCUUUCCGUCUCCGGCUAGAGGAAGGACAUCACAUGGGAUCUCAGCACACAGGACAAUGGUCUCGGGAGUUCUUAAACCAGCAGCACCUCUUCCAAAGGAAGUCAUUUGUACUUUUGACAUGUAGGACCAUUAGUUGGAAGAGAGGCUGAUUUGGAUGGAGGUCAGAGACCUUCAUAGGGUUCCACCUUGCCUUCUCUUGAACCCUGAACCACAAAGUGAGGAAAUUAUGGUUGAGCCUACCAACCAUGUGAGAGAACAAGAAAUGGAGGUUCAGAGAAGUAGAGAAACUUAACAAGGUCACAGAGCAAGUGGUUUGAUGAAUAUCGUUAUCUUUGGAUUUCUGAGGAUCCAUUCCUGGGUCCUUCUAAAGUCCUUGAUGCCCUUUUUGAAAGAAGAUACUCAGUCUACUAGUCAGCUACUAUGAAAAAACUACUCUAAGGUCAGAUGCAACUUCUGGCUUAAUCACAACAGAAUUAAUGUUUGUUCGGUUGCUGGUUUUGUUUUGUGAACUGGCUGAGAUCUGUAGGUGAGUAUUAUGCAUGGGUACCCUUUCCAGGUGCCACUCAUCAAAUGCACACUAUAUGCCAUUACAGGCUGAGUAGAGUCCUUCAUUUCAUUGUAUCAUUGAAUCUCCAUAGGUUGGUGAUGUUGGUAUUACUGAUCCCAUUUGGGGAAAACUGAGGCUCAUGGGAGUGGGAGGCAGGGUUCCCAACCCAUGCCUUUUGCUCAGGGAGUUGCUGUCUCCUUAGAAGGAUGGUAAAGAAAUAUAAAAUAUCUGUCAUGAAUUAGGAAGAAUGUCCUAAAAUCUCAAGGUGCCAUUUAAAGGCAAAGACCAGUGUGGCUCGUGAGGGAAGGAGAGGCCAGACCAGGAGGUGACCACAAGCAGGUACAAGGCAGCCAGGCAUCCCAACGCAAUGCUGUGGUAAGAAAGCAAGGAGUAGAACAGCGUUGUGGAAAGUGAAAACCGCCUAGGAUGUGUGGGAGGCUGGAGGCAGAUGGGUGUGGAUGAGAAGGGCAAUAGGAGGGAUCCUUGUGUGAUGGAAAUGCUCUGUCUUUUCCCUGUAUCCAUGACUUGCCAUGAUAUUGUGGUAUAAGGUAGUUUUGCAAGACGUCGGCAUUGGGGGAAACUGGGUGAAGGGUACGUGAGAAUUCUAUGUGAAUCUAUACAAGUUUAAUUUUUAAAAUAUAUACAGAGUCUACUCCCAAAAAUGUAUAUACACUCCAAGAAAAGAAAUAUAGGAUGAUGUUUUUCCAACCCUCGUAUGGGGAAUCCUAGAGGAUGUCGUAUAUCGCAGAAAACCCACUCCACUGCUAGCCCUUAGAGAAGAAAUUAAAAGUACACGUGCAGCAAUUUCAAUGACCAAGGUUACACAAGCAGUAGUUGGCUGUACUAACAAAGUUCUGGAAGCCAGUGACCACACUUUGGCCACCUCUUGUAACUGUAGAGGCUGAAGGUAACUUACAUUAAACUCAUGAUGUCUCAAUAAAUUUAGUAUUAAAAUAUUUAUACAAGCUUUUCUUUUCUUGAAGUGCAUAUACUUUUUUGGUGAACUCUGUAUAUAUAUGGGAGAGAGAGUGGAGUUCACAGACCCCCAGCCCUUCACCCCUUGCAUGCACUCCAGGAGAAGCUUGCAUGGUGUCUUUUUGCAGCAAGGUAUCUUCAGGUGUCUGUCCUGGAUGCCUUUGGGCAGGACCAAGAGGAAUACAUGCCUGAGAGCUAGGCAGAUGGCACUCGGAGAGACAGAUGGCCAGAAUCCCCAGAGGUGGGAGCACUCACUGAGCACCUACUAGGUGCCAGGUGCUGUUCCAGGGCUAGAGACUGAGGUUAGGAAAGCUGGUGCAGCUUCCCACAGGUUUGCAUUGUACAGUUGAAGACAGAUGUAAACCAGGAACAGGGCAAUGCCAGGUGGUGACAGGUGCUGUGAAGAAGAUGAAAGAGCAGAGUGUGACAGAGUAGCUGGGGGCUGCUUUUGCUGGAGCAGUCAGGGAAGGCUUCUUUGAGGAAAACCUAAGUGAGAAGGAGGCAGCCAUGGGGACAUGUGAGGGAGAGUAUUCUAUGCAGGAGGAAGAGCAGGUGCAGGAUCUCUGAGACAGGAAUAAGCUUGUGCACGAGGGGCAAGAUGAAGACCAUAGGAAGGGAAGCACUGGCAUUGGGAGCUGGAGGGCGAUGAAGCUAAAAAGACAGGCAAAGGCCAGAUCCUAUAGGCAGGUGCUUGCAGAUGUUGGUAAGGAGUUGGUAUUGGGAGUCUCUGGCAGGUCUGAAGUAGGUACAUGGCCAGCUAUGUGUGGAUGGGUUUUAGAAGGGCAGGAGUGGAAAAUAGUAGACCACAUUGUACUACUGCAAUGGUCCAUGCAAGAGGGCAGUGUCAUGAGUAGGGCUUUGGCAUUGGCAUGGGAAACCUGUUGGAUUGGGGUUGCUCUGAGAGGAGAGCUAUCAGAGAUUUGCUGGUGGUUUACACAUGGAUGCGAUGGCAAGAAAAAGAUCCAGGAUGAUUCCCAGGUCUGCUGUUUCAUUCUAUCCCAGCUAACUCCAAAGGACUGGUCAGAGAAUGUCCUUCAGAGAAUAGCACUAAAAAUAGAUGAGAAUUGGGCUGAGCCUCAAAAAGUGUGGGUUGAAGGGGUGACCCCCUCACCAGUUUCACCACUCUGGUCCUUAGGCUCUUUCUUGCUGCAGGGAGCAGACCUGCUCUGCUUUUCUUGUACAUGGAGCUGAUUGUAAGAUGGUGGUGAGGUGAGGGGGUUUGGCAGCCAUCCUGGCAGUGGUCCUGUGACACCCAGGAGAACGGGGGCACAGUCUUCCCCCACCUAAGCAGCUAUCAGCAGACAUCAUAUACUGUCCAUGUCUCCACUGUUCUGAGCCAGCUGUGGUUUGGAGCCCCCUGCAGACAUGCUGCCUCCUCCUUCACUCUCUGGGCUGCACACUCCAGAUGCCCUGCAGGGAGAGUCUCCUAGGAUUGGCUGGUCCAUCCAGGCCAUGUCUGCAGGGCAGAGGGCUCGGGCCAGGCCAUUGCCAAGGCAGCUGGAGUCCUUGAUGCAUCCCCCAAAAGCCAUUGCCUUUGACUUGUUCUGGGCCUAGUUGUGGCCCAAGCAUCAUGGAACAGAAAAUGUGCAUAGCAGCACAAGUGCCCGGGGCUGGGUGUGACCUCCAGAGGUGUGGCAGGCAUUGGCAUAGACGUCCUGGACACAAAAGCUGUGCAAUUCAGGAAGGCCAGUGUCCAGUGGAUGAGAAGGACCUAACAUGUCAGUAAGGUGGACAGCUUCUGUCGGCAAAAGUGGGAGGCACGCAGAAAAUAACCUUGGAUUUGUGUAAUAGUAUCUCUUGUGAUGUGGGAUUAAUUUUAUCUUUGGUGCUGCAUCUUUGGUGGCCCAGGGAACGCUGCAUUUCUCCACUCUCUUCCGUCCAUCAAAGUGGCUCCUCAAAGAGCACUUCUCACAUUCCUCACCCCAAGGAUAGAACAGAAUCACCUCAAGCACAGAACCAUGGCCCUAGGGGACAUGGCCUUCACCUGCUUCCUUUUUAUCUGCCUCGCCUAAUUCAUCUUUCCUUUCUUUUUCUCCCUUAAUCCCUCGAAGUUAGCCAGGGAGGGGCAGAAAGGAAUCUUGGUUUUUGUCUGACUCUAUAGGAGUACAGUUGCUAGAACUGAACUGUGUUUCCCCUAAAUUCCUAGGUUGAGCCCGAAUCCUACUGUAAGUGUAUGUGGACAGAGGCCUUGAGGGGGGAAAGGGUCCUGCAGAGCACUGGUAUUCUUAGGAGAAGAGACGCUAGAGGUUGCUUCCUCCCCUGCACACACAGAGGAAAGUUCAUCGGGGUCAGACAGAAGGCAGAUGUCUACAAGCCAGGAAGAAAGUCCUCACUAGACAGCUAAUCCUCAGAACCUUGAUCUGAGACUCCGCAGCCUCCAGAACUUUGUGAAAUUACAC
RNAcentral lists this long non-coding RNA (12191 nucleotides) under Heterocephalus glaber (naked mole-rat). RNAcentral describes it as "lncRNA (ENSHGLG00000039308.1)". The record is from RNAcentral. Lineage: Eukaryota; Metazoa; Chordata; Mammalia; Rodentia; Bathyergidae.